GGAAGUAAAAGUCGUAACAAGUUCUCCGUUGGUGAACCAGCGGAGGGAUCAUUACUGGAAUCGCAAGAUCCCACAACCCUGUGAACCUACCGAAACGUUGCCUCGGCGGGUGCCCGGCCCCCGCGCCGGGCGCUGCGCCCGCCGGCGGCCCCCUACUCUGUCUCUGCAGCGUGGCAUCUCAGAGUCCCAGAAAACAAGUCAAAACUUUCAACAACGGAUCUCUUGGCUCUA
RNAcentral lists this unclassified non-coding RNA (231 nucleotides) under plant metagenome. Its description in RNAcentral is "partial contains small subunit ribosomal RNA, internal transcribed spacer 1, and 5.8S ribosomal RNA". The stretch from base 1 to 54 matches the Rfam family "Eukaryotic small subunit ribosomal RNA", at positions 1778 to 1831 of the family's 1831-position model. The record is from RNAcentral.